UACAGAGGGUGCGAGCGUUAAUCGGAGUUACUGGGCGUAAAGGGCGCGUAGGCGGAUGUACAAGUAAGAUGUGAAAUCCCUGGGCUCAACCUAGGAAUUGCAUUUUAGACUGUGCAUCUGGAGUACAGUAGAGGGUGGUGGAAUUUCCGGUGUAGCGGUGAAAUGCGUAGAGAUCGGAAGGAACAUCAGUGGCGAAGGCGACCACCUGGACUGUAACUGACGCUGAGGCGCGAAAGCGUGGGUAGCAAACAGG
Molecule: ribosomal RNA, 253 nt
Filed under: uncultured bacterium
Lineage: Bacteria
Description: partial 16S ribosomal RNA
Rfam family: Bacterial small subunit ribosomal RNA
Source: RNAcentral